GAUGAACGCUGGCGGCGUGCCUAAUACAUGCAAGUCGAACGAAACUUCUUUAUCACCGAGUGCUUGCACUCACCGAUAAAGAGUUGAGUGGCGAACGGGUGAGUAACACGUGGGCAACCUGCCCAAAAGAGGGGGAUAACACUUGGAAACAGGUGCUAAUACCGCAUAACCAUAGUUACCGCAUGGUAACUAUGUAAAAGGUGGCUAUACUACCGCUUUUGGAUGGGCCCGCGGCGCAUUAGCUAGUUGGUAGGGUAAAGGCUUACCAAGGCAAUGAUGCGUAGCCGAAUUGAGAGGUUGAUCGGCCACAUUAGGACUGAGACACGGACCAAACUCCUACGGGAGGCAGCAGUAGGGAAUCUUCCACAAUGGGCGAAAGCCUGAUGGAGCAACGCCGCGUGGGUGAAGAAGGUCUUCGGAUCGUAAAACCCUGUUGUUAGGGAAAAAAGUGCGUGGGAGUAACUGUUCACGUUUCGACGGUAUCUAACCAGAAAGCCACGGCUAACUACGUG
Molecule: ribosomal RNA, 512 nt
Filed under: uncultured bacterium
Lineage: Bacteria
Description: partial 16S ribosomal RNA
Rfam family: Bacterial small subunit ribosomal RNA
Source: RNAcentral